Molecule: ribosomal RNA, 253 nt
Filed under: uncultured bacterium
Lineage: Bacteria
Description: partial 16S ribosomal RNA
Rfam family: Bacterial small subunit ribosomal RNA
Source: RNAcentral
UACGUAGGUGGCAAGCGUUAUCCGGAUUUAUUGGGCGUAAAGGGAACGCAGGCGGUCUUUUAAGUCUGAUGUGAAAGCCUUCGGCUUAACCGGAGUAGUGCAUUGGAAACUGGGAGACUUGAGUGCAGAAGAGGAGAGUGGAACUCCAUGUGUAGCGGUGAAAUGCGUAGAUAUUAGGAGGAACACCAGUGGCGAAGGCGGCCUACUGGACGGUGACUGACGCUGAGGCUCGAAAGCGUGGGGAGCAAACAGG